GGAGGUUGGCGCCUGGACGAGUUCCUCGCCAACCCGGUCAGAUCCGGAAGGAAGCAGCCGUAACGAGUUUCGCUCGGGUCGGGCGUUCAGCCUCCCAC
RNAcentral lists this signal recognition particle RNA (98 nucleotides) under Alphaproteobacteria bacterium. RNAcentral's name for it is "signal recognition particle sRNA small type". It matches the Rfam family "Bacterial small signal recognition particle RNA". From Rfam's summary of the family: The signal recognition particle (SRP) is a universally conserved ribonucleoprotein involved in the co-translational targeting of proteins to membranes. Archaeal SRP consists of a 7S RNA and homologues of the eukaryotic SRP19 and SRP54 proteins. In most bacteria, the SRP consists of a 4.5S RNA and the Ffh protein (a homologue of the eukaryotic SRP54 protein). Lineage: Bacteria; Pseudomonadati; Pseudomonadota; Alphaproteobacteria. The record is from RNAcentral.